UACAGAGGUCCCAAGCGUUGUUCGGAUUCACUGGGCGUAAAGGGUGCGUAGGUGGUGAGGUAAGUCGGAUGUGAAAUCCCCGAGCUCAACUCGGAAAUGGCAUUGGAAACUACCUUGCUCGAGGGUUGGAGGGGGGACUGGAAUGCUUGGUGUAGCAGUGAAAUGCGUAGAUAUCAAGCGGAACACCAGUGGCGAAGGCGAGUCCCUGGACAACUCCUGACACUGAGGCACGAAAGCUAGGGGAGCAAACAGG
This 253-nucleotide ribosomal RNA is filed under the name uncultured bacterium. RNAcentral describes it as "partial 16S ribosomal RNA". It matches the Rfam family "Bacterial small subunit ribosomal RNA", at positions 524 to 776 of the family's 1533-position model. The record is from RNAcentral.